This 548-nucleotide ribosomal RNA is filed under the name uncultured bacterium. RNAcentral's name for it is "partial 16S ribosomal RNA". It matches the Rfam family "Bacterial small subunit ribosomal RNA", at positions 355 to 895 of the family's 1533-position model. The record is from RNAcentral.
UAGGGAAUCUUCCACAAUGGACGCAAGUCUGAUGGAGCAACGCCGCGUGAGUGAAGAAGGUUUUCGGACCGUAAAGCUCUGUUGUUGGUGAAGAAGGAUAGAGGUAGUAACUGGCCUUUAUUUGACGGUAAUCAACCAGAAAGUCACGGCUAACUACGUGCCAGCAGCCGCGGUAAUCGUAGGUGGCAAGCGUUGUCCGGAUUUAUUGGGCGUAAAGCGAGCGCAGGCGGAAGAAUAAGUCUGAUGUGAAAGCCCUCGGCUUAACCGAGGAAUUGCAUCGGAAACUGUUUUCUUGAGUGCAGAAGAGGAGAGUAGAACUCCAUGUGUAGCGGUGGAAUGCGUAGAUAUAUGGAAGAAUACCAGUGGCGAAGGCGGCUCUCUGGUCUGCAACUGACGCUGAGGCUCGAAAGCAUGGGUAGCGAACAGGAUUAGAUACCCUGGUAGUCCAUGCCGUAAACGAUGAGUGCUAAGUGUUGGGAGGCUUCCGCCUCUCAGUGCUGCAGCUAACGCAUUAAGCACUCCGCCUGGGGGAGUACGACCGCAAGGUU